UACGUAGGGUGCGAGCGUUGUCCGGAAUCACUGGGCGUAAAGAGCUCGUAGGUGGUUUGUCGCGUUGUUCGUGAAAACUCACAGCUUAACUGUGGGCGUGCGGGCGAUACGGGCAGACUGGAGUACUGCAGGGGAGACUGGAAUUCCUGGUGUAGCGGUGGAAUGCGCAGAUAUCAGGAGGAACACCGGUGGCGAAGGCGGGUCUCUGGGCAGUAACUGACGCUGAGGAGCGAAAGCGUGGGGAGCGAACAGG
RNAcentral lists this ribosomal RNA (253 nucleotides) under uncultured bacterium. RNAcentral's name for it is "partial 16S ribosomal RNA". It matches the Rfam family "Bacterial small subunit ribosomal RNA", at positions 524 to 776 of the family's 1533-position model. The record is from RNAcentral.